GCGCCGGUGGCGAAGCGGUUAACGCAGCCGCCUGCAGAGCGGCGAUCCACAGGUUCAAAUCCUGUCCGGCGCU
This 73-nucleotide transfer RNA is filed under the name Candidatus Woesearchaeota archaeon. RNAcentral describes it as "tRNA-Cys". It matches the Rfam family "tRNA". Rfam says of the family: Transfer RNA (tRNA) molecules are approximately 80 nucleotides in length. Their secondary structure includes four short double-helical elements and three loops (D, anti-codon, and T loops). The record is from RNAcentral. Lineage: Archaea; Nanobdellati; Candidatus Woesearchaeota.